GAUGAACGCUGGCGGCGUGCCUAAUACAUGCAAGUCGAGCGAACAGACGAGGAGCUUGCUCCUCUGACGUUAGCGGCGGACGGGUGAGUAACACGUGGAUAACCUACCUAUAAGACUGGGAUAACUUCGGGAAACCGGAGCUAAUACCGGAUAAUAUAUUGAACCGCAUGGUUCAAUAGUGAAAGACGGUUUUGCUGUCACUUAUAGAUGGAUCCGCGCCGCAUUAGCUAGUUGGUAAGGUAACGGCUUACCAAGGCAACGAUGCGUAGCCGACCUGAGAGGGGGAUCGGCCACACUGGAGCAGAGACACGACGCACACUCCUACUGGGGGCGGCAGUAGGGGAGCUUCCUCAAUGAGGGAAAGCCGGAUGGAGCAACACCGCGGGGGGGGUGAUGGACUUCUUAUCUUAAAACACUGUUAUUAUGAGAGAACAAAAAAUGAGUAAGCAAUGCACGACGUGACGAUGCCAAAUCAGAAGAACACGGCGGACAACUUG
This 497-nucleotide ribosomal RNA is filed under the name uncultured bacterium. Its description in RNAcentral is "partial 16S ribosomal RNA". It matches the Rfam family "Bacterial small subunit ribosomal RNA", at positions 28 to 507 of the family's 1533-position model. The record is from RNAcentral.